RNAcentral lists this long non-coding RNA (2509 nucleotides) under Salmo salar (Atlantic salmon). RNAcentral describes it as "lncRNA (ENSSSAG00000107966.1)". The record is from RNAcentral. Lineage: Eukaryota; Metazoa; Chordata; Actinopteri; Salmoniformes; Salmonidae.
AGUGGCAUGUUCAUGCUGUCAACAGUCAAACACCCUUAAAUUCCCAAACACAAACAGAGUCAAUAAGUAACUUUGAUUUCUUUAUUACUUUAAACAAAAUGCAGUUACAAUCAGUUCAUUUCGUCACUCAACAAAUCGAGGAGUACAUUUGCAACUACCAUUCUAUACUUUAAAAAGGACCAGCAUACAGAAGAGCCUAGCCACUAAGAAAAGUAUUUGCAAAUCGGUAAUGCAAACUGAUUGGUUUAUGGACAUGCAGUUUAAAAUCAACCGAUGCAGUGCAAUCAAUGUGAUCAUAUCUGUAACAACAUCCCUGUUAAACCUACUUGCUCUAGUCUUUAAAAAGUCCUCCUGGCUACACACUCAUGCAAGAACAAACAAAAAAGUUGUUAAAGGGGGACAACAUUCUACAAUAUGUUACGUCAGUUAUUAGGUGUACAUUUUCAGUUGAAGACCUCUUGGUCUUGUGGUAAUGUUCUGUAGCAAGAGUUUUGUUAACAAUGUCUACAGUGGCUGGUCCACUCCAGAGCCAGUCAGUGGCAACAACCAGGUCCUUCCAUGGUGAAAACACUUCUGGUACCUAGUGACACAGGAAAUUCGUGAAACGGAGAAAUAGCUCGCUACCUAAUUAGUAUAAUCACUGAACUCAAUUUAGAUGGUACCUGAAUAUGUAAGCUGUCAAGGUUAUACAACACAUCUACUAUUUAAAAGUAUAUCCAACAACUGGUCUGCUUGAACGCUAACUUUCGGUUUCUCUGGUAGCUAACAGGACUCAAUUUUUCUUGCCAACAAGAAGCACAAGCCUCAACACCGCCAUGUUGAGACGAGGUUUCAACGUUGAAUGUACAACGCUAAGUUAGUUGGUAGUAGCUAGUAAUUAAGACGGGAAACAAAAUGGUCCCAAAAAAACAUUAAUUAACAUUCAAGUAUCCAACGAAAUAAAUGUAUAGCAACGAUAUUGAAAAAAAAAAACGACCAGCGAAUGUCAUGAGCUGCUAGCUAACUGCUUAGUCCGAGCGCCAGACAGACAACUAGCCAUGUCCAGCAGUGUUUUGACCAUGUUGUAUAGAUUAAAAAGUUACAUGCCAACUCAGCUAACUCGCAAGAUUACGCAACAUGUGUACAAAUAACUUAAGCAGUCCGGUAGCCAACUAUCGUAACUAUCAAAACUAACAAACUCCAUGCCAUCCCUCUUUCUAUGAAUUUAUAGACUUAGCUAACGUAUUUAUACAACUGACCAACAGGGUAGCUAGUGACUGAGGUUGGCUAGUUAACUAGCGUUACCUGGUCGCUCUGGGUGCCAUUUUGCUUGCAACUAGUUAGGUAUAUUAGCCUGAUGUUUUCCUUUUAAAAAUGAAACACUAGUUAGCUAGCCAAUGCGCCUCUAUUGUACUCGGUGACAUUUAAACAAAAAUCAGCGCUAAAAUAAUAUCAAAUAUUUAUUGCUCAUUUUCCAUCGUUAGUUAGACAGCCUAUUCAAUGGCGGGUUUUUACAGUGCCCACAAAGGGGUAACGACGUUAGAUGGCUGGCUAGCAACUAACAUUAGCUACAUCGUGCUAACUACUUAGCCAGGGGUAGGCAACCCUGGUACUGGAGUGCCGACCUUGGAAAUCAAGAGUGUUGAAUUUGGGCAAUCGCCGAAAUUACCAAUUAGUUGUUGGUCAGGUGUGGUGCCUAAUUGGAACAAACUCUUGUUUUCUGCGGCACUCCAGGAACAGGGCUAUUGACCCCUGAUUUAGGCUAACGUGUAGGUAACUGUGUUAUAUAUACACUUUUUUUUUAAAGCUGAACAUUUGAACACUAACCAAACAUUCUAGUACAACUAUGUGGAAAUCUGAUUUUACAUAGACUUUGGCUUGCUAACUGGCAAGACACUUACCGCCAAAGCCAAGCUGUCACUUCGUUUUAGACGUGGCCUUCCAAUCUCGUCCCUAUUUCAGAAUAUAAAUGAAAUGUCCAUAACAUUAACAAAUUUUGCUCUAAAAACGAGUAUUUCAAGCUUUCCCGUUUUAAUUAUGGUAAAGUCUUUCACCGUUAUUAUAUUAAACACCGCAGGCUUUUGUCGGAUUUUCCCAGUUGACUUACUUAAAAUAACACUGAUCACGCCGGCAUGGUUUCCACUUGAGACCGAGGAUUCUCGCGUAGUCCCGUAAAAAAAAUUGUUUUGUUGUAAAGUAACAGUAACUUCGACAUCUUCUUAAAAAAGUAAGAAAAAUAACUAGUUUUAACUGAUUUAAAAAUAAUAAUACUAAGCGAAAAAAACACUUUAAAUAUGACUUUGAUUUCCGAAAGGUCGAGGUAGGCCUCGCGAACGAGCUUCUUUUCCAAGAGUUGUUGCCGAUCCAGAGCGAGACGAACGAGACAACGCGGAUUUUUUUAAUUUUGCUUAGAGAGGAAAAAAUAAGAAUCGGUGAAGUUCGGCAAAAAUCGGAAGUAAGGCGGGUUUUUCCAACGCCAUCGUAUAUCUAUAGCCAUUGGUUAAUCUCUGUGUAUUAAUGUAUAUUAAUG